CCCUUAGAUGUCCUGGGCCGCACGCGCGCUACACUGAGUGUCUGAGAUACGAGUCUGCCUGGUCCGGCAAGGUCUAGGUAAUCGCUAAAAGACACAUCAUGCUUGGGAUAGAUUAUUGCAAAUAUUAAUCUUGAACGAGGAAUUCCUAGUAAGCGCAAGUCAACAGCUUGCGUUGAUUACGUCCCUGCCCUUUGUACACACCGCCCGUCGCUACUACUGAUUGGAUGUUUAAGCGAGGUUCUCGAACUGCUAGCGACUUAGCUUCGGUGCGGUCGCAGUGUGGGAAGUGAACCUAGCUUUGGUGUCUAGAGGAAGUAAAAGUCGUAACA
This 329-nucleotide ribosomal RNA is filed under the name uncultured eukaryote. RNAcentral describes it as "partial 18S ribosomal RNA". It matches the Rfam family "Eukaryotic small subunit ribosomal RNA", at positions 1470 to 1796 of the family's 1831-position model. The record is from RNAcentral.